Molecule: ribosomal RNA, 253 nt
Filed under: uncultured bacterium
Lineage: Bacteria
Description: partial 16S ribosomal RNA
Rfam family: Bacterial small subunit ribosomal RNA
Source: RNAcentral
UACAGAGGGUGCGAGCGUUAAUCGGAAUUACUGGGCGUAAAGCGCACGUAGUCGGCUUUGCAAGUCGGGUGUGAAAUCCCCGGGCUCAACCUGGGAACUGCAUCCGAGACUGCAUUGCUAGAGUACGGUAGAGGGGGAUGGAAUUCCGCGUGUAGCAGUGAAAUGCGUAGAUAUGCGGAGGAACACCGAUGGCGAAGGCAAUCCCCUGGACCUGUACUGACGCUCAUGCACGAAAGCGUGGGGAGCAAACAGG